CUUUGGGCAAAAGUAGUACGACUUUUCAAAUCAUGAGAGGGCUCGAGAUGUCCGACUGUAGAACAUUGGGGAGUUAUAUCGAAACUACAAGGUCAAUCUCCAUAAAGGAUGAUUAGAGCAUCGUAAGGACAUUGAGGAGGAGCUUGUUCCUUGAAUCCAAGACUGUUCUUCGAGUCAGUGGAAGGGGAUGGUCAGGCAUUGGAGGAGCCAGGACUUUCAGGUUCAAUUUGUAACUUAUGAAUUUUUUAUUACACUAACAAUUAUAUUUGAUUUUAACUUAUAUGAUUUAAAUACUUUUUAGGCUACAUCUCAUCAGAAUCGAAAGAAUCGGGCU
Molecule: long non-coding RNA, 334 nt
Filed under: Elaeis guineensis (African oil palm)
Lineage: Eukaryota; Viridiplantae; Streptophyta; Magnoliopsida; Arecales; Arecaceae
Description: long non-coding RNA (EGUI_LNC073234)
Source: RNAcentral